Molecule: ribosomal RNA, 1409 nt
Filed under: Listrophoroides lemniscomys
Lineage: Eukaryota; Metazoa; Arthropoda; Arachnida; Sarcoptiformes; Atopomelidae
Description: eukaryotic LSU rRNA
Rfam family: Eukaryotic large subunit ribosomal RNA
Source: RNAcentral
GAUUUCCUUAGUAACGGCGAGCGAAAGGGAAACUGUCCAGCGCCAAGUCUUGACACUUUGUGUUCAAGAGAUGCGGCGUUAAUGUGUUAAUGCCUCGUACGUUGUUUCAUGUUUCAAGUUCCUUUGACAGGGACAUCCAUAGCGGGUGCUAGGCCCAUAGAAACGCGAAACUGACGUAUGCAGAUUAAUACAUUCUAGAGUCAGGUUGCUUGAGAGUGCAGCUUAAAGUCGGUGGUAAACUCCAUCUAAGACUAAAUAUUACAGCGAGACCGAUAGCAAACAAGUACCGUGAGGGAAAGUUGCAAAGCACUUUGAAGAGAGAGUUCAACAGUACGUGAAACCACUGGGAGGCAAACAGAUGGAACCACGAAUGUUGCGCCUUGCUCAAUUCAUCUUUUGCUAUUGAUUAACAUUGUUUAGAUUGGGCUUUUUCGAAGGUUGUCUAAAUGAUGUUGAGAUUGAUGGCAAAAGUGCAUUUUGAAGUAAGGAUGCUAAGCCACGUUCAAUUAGAGUUGRGGCGGCCGUAGGAAAGAAUCUAAAAAAGGUGAUCGUUAUGUGCUUGCAUAUAGCGAUGUUAUAGUUUUAGAUUGGAACCGUCUUCUAACAAGCUAAUUGAUAAAAGUUCUCCUAAGGGAGUUAAUAUUUUUGUCGCCAAUGUUUGAUAUGUAAUUCUCUUGUGUGUACUUUAUGUAUUCUUGGAUAUAUAAAUGCAUAUUUGUAGCGUUAUAUAGAUGACAUUGUGUUGCAAGAAUAAACUGUGGCGUGAGUAGGUCGGUGUCCAUUUGACCCGUCUUGAAACACGGACCAAGGAGCCUAUCAUAUACGCGAGUCGCUCGGUCUUGUUUAGGCCAGAGAGGCAAAAUGAAAGUAAAACUACGAGACAUUUGUUGCAGUAGUGGCACGCCUACUUCGUUUAUUUGGCGAUCGGGCGUAGCUGGAGCGUAUACGAUGGUACCCGAAAGAUGGUGAACUAUGCCUGGGCAAGACGAAGCCAGAGGAAACUCUGGUGGAGGUCUGUAGCGAUUCUGACGUGCAAAUCGAUCGUCAGACCUGGGUAUAGGGGCGAAAGACUAAUCGAACCAUCUAGUAGCUGGUUCCCUCCGAAGUUUCCCUCAGGAUAGCAGGCGUUUAUUAGCAGUGUCAUCCGGUAAAGCUAAUGAUUAGAGGUCUUGGGGUUGAAACGACCUCAACCUAUUCUCAAACUUUAAAUGGGUGAGAUGGUUGACUUUCUUGAUUGAAGCCAACCAUUAGGAUGCAAGUGCCUAGUGGGCCAUUUUUGGUAAGCAGAACUGGCGCUGUGGGAUGAACCAAACGUCGAGAUAAGGCAUCAAAUGCAUACGCUCAUCAGACCCCAUGAAAGGUGUUGGUUGCUAUAGACAGCAGGACGGUGGCCAUGGAAGUCGGAAUCC